AACGCACCUUGCGCUCCUUGGUAUUCCGAGGAGCAUGCCUGUUUGAGUGUCAUGGAAUCAUCAAACCUUCAGGCUCUCUCCUGUAGAGACGUUUGAAGGUUUGGACUUUGGAGGUUUUAUUGCUGGCCCUUCUGCGUGUCAGCUCCUCUUGAAUGCAUUAGCCCGGACCCUUGCUGUAUCGGCUUCAGCGUGAUAAUUGUCUGCGCUGUGGCUGUGAGGCUGCCAUGAGGGUUUGGCUUCUAGCGGUCUCCUUGAAGAGACAUUUCAUUUUGACCUCUGGCCUCAAAUCAGGUAGGACUACCCGCUGAACUUAU
Molecule: unclassified non-coding RNA, 314 nt
Filed under: uncultured Postia
Lineage: Eukaryota; Fungi; Basidiomycota; Agaricomycetes; Polyporales; Polyporaceae
Description: partial contains 5.8S ribosomal RNA, internal transcribed spacer 2, and large subunit ribosomal RNA
Rfam family: 5.8S ribosomal RNA (bases 1-52)
Source: RNAcentral